This 89-nucleotide non-coding RNA is filed under the name unclassified sequences. RNAcentral describes it as "NiCo sequence". It matches the Rfam family "NiCo (Nickel/Cobalt) riboswitch aptamer". The record is from RNAcentral.
AGAGGUAAGUUGGAUCAGGCGGCCUGAAUUAAGAGGGCGCGGCCGGGCUGAAUAAUCAGCAGCGGUAUCUUUAAGACCGUGGGACUCUG